This 408-nucleotide ribosomal RNA is filed under the name uncultured bacterium. RNAcentral's name for it is "partial 16S ribosomal RNA". It matches the Rfam family "Bacterial small subunit ribosomal RNA", at positions 28 to 526 of the family's 1533-position model. The record is from RNAcentral.
GACGAACGCUGGCGGCGUGCUUAACACAUGCAAGUCGAACGAAGUGGCGAACGGGUGAGUAAUACGUGGGUAACCUGCCCUCCUUUUUGGGAUAAGCCUUGGAAACGGGGUCUAAUACCGAAUAAAGGGGGAUGGGCUCGCGGCCUAUCAGCUUGUUGGGGGGGUGAUGGCCUACCAGGGCGGUGACGGGUAAGCGGACGGAGAGGGUGACCGGCAACAUGGUGAUGGACAGACUGCCCAGGCACCGACGGGAGGCAGCAGUGGGGGAUAUUGCACAAUGGGGGAAAGCCUGAGGCAGCGACGCCAAGUGGGGGAUGAAGGCUUUCGGGUUGUAAACCUCGUACGCUAGCGAAUGGGUAGGUGGAGAAGAAGCGCCGGCUAACUACGUGCCAGCAGCCGCGGUAAUUC